CUACGCACUCCUACGGGAGGCAGCAGUGGGGAAUAUUGCACAAUGGGCGCAAGCCUGAUGCAGCCAUGCCGCGUGUAUGAAGAAGGCCUUCGGGUUGUAAAGUACUUUCAGCAGUGAGGAAGGUGGGUAUGUUAAUAGCAUAUUCAUUUGACGUUAGCUGCAGAAGAAGCACCGGCUAACUCCGUGCCAGCAGCCGCGGUAAUACGGAGGGUGCGAGCGUUAAUCGGAAUUACUGGGCGUAAAGCGCAUGCAGGUGGUUUGUUAAGUCAGAUGUGAAAGCCCGGGGCUCAACCUCGGAAUUGCAUUUGAAACUGGAAAACUAGAGUACUGUAGAGGGGGUAGAAUUUCAGGUGUAGCGGUGAAAUGCGUAGAGAUCUGAAGGAAUACCGGUGGCGAAGGCGGCCCCCUGGACAGAUACUGACACUCAGAUGCGAAAGCGUGGGGAGCAAACAGGAUUAGAUACCCUGGUAG
RNAcentral lists this ribosomal RNA (471 nucleotides) under uncultured bacterium. RNAcentral's name for it is "bacterial SSU rRNA". It matches the Rfam family "Bacterial small subunit ribosomal RNA", at positions 329 to 793 of the family's 1533-position model. The record is from RNAcentral.